Leptopilina boulardi is the source of this 764-nucleotide long non-coding RNA. RefSeq lists it as uncharacterized. NCBI's taxonomy places the organism in Eukaryota, Metazoa, Arthropoda, Insecta, Hymenoptera, Figitidae. The transcript is spliced from 2 exons. The record is from RefSeq and is a predicted model, not a curated record.
GAAUUUUGAUAUUAGUCGGGGAUCGCCGAAUAGAUUGUUACGUGUAUGUAAAUCUCGUGCGUAAUCGGUAGUAAUCCGAUUACUACCGAAUGAAAGAAAGCGAUAUGAGCGGUAUUGUGUGUGUCGCGAAUAUUAGAAUCGCAAGAGUCGCGCUGCGACGAGCAUAGUAUACCCGUUAGCGGGUCCAGGUGUGGGCGGAAACAAGGUGGAUAUUCCUGUUUUUUUUAUCGUUGCUUUGGAAGCGGGGAUUAAACCUCUGUUUGAAGCGUCGCAAGUUGGUGACCACCUGUUUAUUUCUACAUAUCAAAUCUAGCCUUGUGAGAAUUUGUCUCAAAACAAUAUUCGAAGGAAAUAACGACACGAGAUUCUCUGAGUUCGAUUCGGCCGAGAUUCGUCUUAUUAAUUGUAUGUUUGACCAAGAUUAUACUGAAAUAAUCCAAAAAUUGUGACUGACGCUCAUCCAAAAGAGAACUCUAUCUCCACGUGUCUGCGCUUCUUGUUCAUCAAAUUCCGAGAAAUAUAUAUGAGAUAAGUAAAAACAAAAAUAACUUAUUCUUGCGAUUCAAAUUGUAUAUUUUAAAUUUAUGCUUUUACACACAAAUACCAAAUUGAUAGAUUUUACUAAAAAUAUAUAUUGUUAAAUUAAAUUUCAAGCUUUUGUUCACGUAUGAUUGUGGAGUGACUAAUAUAAGUACGAAUCUGAAUAUUGUAUAGAAUUUUUUUUAAUAUUGUCAAAUCCAAAUAAAUUCGAACUCACAUUUAAA